AGAUUGAACGCUGGCGGCAUGCCUUACACAUGCAAGUCGAACGGUAACGCGGGGGCAACCCUGGCGACGAGUGGCGAACGGGUGAGUAAUACAUCGGAACGUACCCAGUAGUGGGGGAUAGCUCGGCGAAAAGCCGGAUUAAUACCGCAUACGACCUACGGGUGAAAGCGGGGGAUCGAAAGACCUCGCGCUAUUGGAGCGGCCGAUGUCGGAUUAGCUAGUUGGUGAGGUAAAGGCUCACCAAGGCUACGAUCCGUAGCUGGUCUGAGAGGACGACCAGCCACACUGGGACUGAGACACGGCCCAGACUCCUACGGGAGGCAGCAGUGGGGAAUUUUGGACAAUGGGCGAAAGCCUGAUCCAGCCAUGCCGCGUGUGUGAAGAAGGCCUUCGGGUUGUAAAGCACUUUUAUCGGGAACGAAAUACCACGGGUUAAUACCCUAUGGGCUGACGGUACCUGAGGAAUAAGCACCGGCUAACUUCGUGCCAGCAGCCGC
This 497-nucleotide ribosomal RNA is filed under the name uncultured bacterium. Its description in RNAcentral is "SSU rRNA". It matches the Rfam family "Bacterial small subunit ribosomal RNA", at positions 26 to 518 of the family's 1533-position model. The record is from RNAcentral.